This 468-nucleotide ribosomal RNA is filed under the name uncultured bacterium. Its description in RNAcentral is "partial 16S ribosomal RNA". It matches the Rfam family "Bacterial small subunit ribosomal RNA", at positions 28 to 507 of the family's 1533-position model. The record is from RNAcentral.
GACGAACGCUGGCGGCGUGCUUAAUACAUGCAAGUCGAACGGAAAGGCCCUGCUUUUGUUGGGUUCUCGAGUGGCGAACGGGUGAGUAUCACGUGAGUAACCUGCCCUUGACUUUGGGAUAACGUUAGGAGACUGGGGCUAAUACCGGGUAGGAUCUCCUGCUCCAUGUGGGGGGUUAGUAAGUUUCGGCGGUUGGGGAUGGACUCGCGGCUUAUCAGCUUGUUGGUGGGGUAGUGACUUACCAAGGCUUUGACGGGUAGCCGGCCUGAGAGGGUGACCGGCCACAUUGGGACUGCGAUACGGCUCAGAAUCCUACGGGAGGCAGCAGUGGGGAAUAUUGCACAAUGAGGGGAAGCGUGAUGCAGCAACGCCGCGUGCGGGAUGACGGCCUUCGGGUUGUAAACCGAUUUCGCCUGUGACGAAGCGUGAGUGACGGUAAUGGGUAAAGAAGCACCGGCUAACUACGUG